This 254-nucleotide ribosomal RNA is filed under the name uncultured bacterium. RNAcentral's name for it is "partial 16S ribosomal RNA". It matches the Rfam family "Bacterial small subunit ribosomal RNA", at positions 524 to 776 of the family's 1533-position model. The record is from RNAcentral.
UACGUAGGGUGCGAGCGUUGUCCGGAAUUAUUGGGCGUAAAGAGCUCGUAGGCGGUCUGUCGCGUCGGUCGUGAAAACUUGGGGCUUAACCCUGAGCUUGCGGUCGAUACGGGCAUGACUGGAGUUCGGCAGGGGAGACUGGAAUUCCUGGUGUAGCGGUGAAAUGCGCAGAUAUCAGGAGGAACACCGGUGGCGAAGGCGGGUCUCUGGGCCGAUACUGACGCUGAGGUGCGAAAGCGUGGGGAGCAAACAGG